This 61-nucleotide transfer RNA is filed under the name unidentified. RNAcentral describes it as "Spelaeomysis bottazzii tRNA-Tyr". The record is from RNAcentral.
AACUUAGUAGUUUAAUAUAAAACAUUAAAUUGUAAAUUUAAAAAUAGCUAACUCUAAGUUA